Molecule: ribosomal RNA, 497 nt
Filed under: uncultured bacterium
Lineage: Bacteria
Description: partial 16S ribosomal RNA
Rfam family: Bacterial small subunit ribosomal RNA
Source: RNAcentral
GAUGAACGCUGGCGGCGUGCCUAAUACAUGCAAGUCGAGCGAACAGACGAGGAGCUUGCUCCUCUGACGUUAGCGGCGGACGGGUGAGUAACACGUGGAUAACCUACCUAUAAGACUGGGAUAACUUCGGGAAACCGGAGCUAAUACCGGAUAAUAUAUUGAACCGCAUGGUCCAAUAGUGAAAGACGGUUUUGCUGUCACUUAUAGAUGGAUCCGCGCCGCAUUAGCUAGUUGGUAAGGUAACGGCUUACCAAGGCGACGAUGCGUAGCCGACCUGAGAGGGUGAUCGGCCACACUGGAGCUGAGACACGGUCCAGACUCCUACGGGAGGCAGCAGUAGGGAAUCUUCCGCAAUGGGCGAAAGCCUGACGGAGCAACGCCGCGUGAGUGAUGAAGGUCUUCGGAUCGUAAAACUCUGUUAUUAGGGAAGAACAAAUGUGUAAGUAACUAUGCACGUCUUGACGGUACCUAAUCAGAAAGCCACGGCUAACUACGUG